CAGUCGCCACGGGAAUACGUAGGUGGCAAGCGUUGUCCGGAAUUAUUGGGCGUAAAGCGCGCGCAGGUGGUUUAAUAAGUCUGAUGUGAAAGCCCACGGCUCAACCGUGGAGGGUCAUUGGAAACUGUUAAACUUGAGUGCAGGAGAGAAAAGUGGAAUUCCUAGUGUAGCGGUGAAAUGCGUAGAGAUUAGGAGGAACACCAGUGGCGAAGGCGGCUCUCUGGCUUGUAACUGACGCUGAGGCUCGAAAGCGUGGGGAGCAAACAGGAUUAGAUACCCGUGUAGUCCCUGUCUCUUAUAC
RNAcentral lists this ribosomal RNA (301 nucleotides) under uncultured bacterium. RNAcentral describes it as "partial 16S ribosomal RNA". It matches the Rfam family "Bacterial small subunit ribosomal RNA", at positions 509 to 807 of the family's 1533-position model. The record is from RNAcentral.